CCUACGGGGGGCUGCAGUGGGGAAUAUUGGACAAUGGGGGGAACCCUGAUCCAGCCAUGCCGCGUGUGUGAAGAAGGCCCUCGGGUUGUAAAGCACUUUCAGUGAGGAAGAACGCCUGGUGGUUAAUACCCAUCAGGAAAGACAUCACUCACAGAAGAAGCACCGGCUAACUCCGUGCCAGCAGCCGCGGUAAUACGGAGGGUGCGAGCGUUAAUCGGAAUUACUGGGCGUAAAGCGCGCGUAGGUGGCUUGAUAAGCCGGUUGUGAAAGCCCCGGGCUCAACCUGGGAACGGCAUCCGGAACUGUCAAGCUAGAGUGCAGGAGUGGAAGGUAGAAUUCCCGGUGUAGCGGUGAAAUGCGUAGAGAUCGGGAGGAAUACCAGUGGCGAAGGCGGCCUUCUGGACUGACACUGACACUGAGGUGCGAAAGCGUGGGUAGCAAACAGGAUUAGAUACCCUAGUAGUC
This 465-nucleotide ribosomal RNA is filed under the name Vreelandella stevensii. RNAcentral describes it as "partial 16S ribosomal RNA". It matches the Rfam family "Bacterial small subunit ribosomal RNA", at positions 338 to 795 of the family's 1533-position model. Lineage: Bacteria; Pseudomonadati; Pseudomonadota; Gammaproteobacteria; Oceanospirillales; Halomonadaceae. The record is from RNAcentral.